Long non-coding RNA from Austrofundulus limnaeus, 154 nucleotides. RefSeq lists it as uncharacterized. The record is from RefSeq and is a predicted model, not a curated record. The transcript has 2 exons. Lineage: Eukaryota; Metazoa; Chordata; Actinopteri; Cyprinodontiformes; Rivulidae.
GGUUUCGGACAGACAGCGGGAACAGCUGAUCAACCAUGUGAGCUUUUCUGUCACCGGGCUGCAAAUGAAGAGUCUUUCCCUUCGCUGGUUGGAGCAGCCGCCAGAAGAUCAAUACGAAGAAUCUGAACGCAUGUGUGUGUGUUUGUGUGUGUGU